RNAcentral lists this long non-coding RNA (12140 nucleotides) under Salmo salar (Atlantic salmon). RNAcentral describes it as "lncRNA (ENSSSAG00000087095.1)". Lineage: Eukaryota; Metazoa; Chordata; Actinopteri; Salmoniformes; Salmonidae. The record is from RNAcentral.
AGACGGGUUCUGCCACUGUGAGCAGAGAGAGGGCCGUGAGAGAGAGCUGUGUGCAGAUGAAGGGGUCUGUGCCACAGUGUUUCGGGCGAGCGGGCCUGUCUGCUGUGAGCUGCAGACUGUCGACGUGGCUGAAUGAGGGCAGCAGCAGGGACGGGACACAGACCUACAGCCGGUGCUACAGUGGGUAGAGGCACAGCUGAGGCCAUCGUGGGAAGAGGUGGCAGCGCUCUCACUCGUGACCGAAGGGUUGUGGUCAAAGUUUGAGAGACUGCGGCUGGCUGAUGGCGUGCUACAGCGGGCAUGGAAGGAGUCAGCUACGGGAGAGGAGAGGUGGCAGGUGGUGGUCCCAAAAGCAUUGCAGGAGGCGGUGCUCCAGAGUACUCAUGGGGGGGUGGGGACUGGACACCUUUGGGUCACAAAAACACUCCGCCGCCUCCGUCAGGGCUUUUACUGGGGGCAGCACAAGAGGGAUGUGGAGGACUGCCGCCGCUGUGACAACUGCACAGCGAGAAAGGGCCCUCCAGGCCACUCUCAUGCUCAACUCCAACAGUUCCCAGUUGGGGCUCCCAUGGAGAGAGUGGGAGUGGAUGUAGUUGGGCCAUUCCCCACCACAGACAGUGGAAACCGCUAGGUGCUCAUGGCCAUGGACUAUUUCACAAAAUGGGCCGAGGCCUAUGCUCUGCCUGACCAGGAGGCAGAGACCAUCAUCGAUGCACUGACAGCGGGAUGUUCAGCAGGUUUGGAGCUGCAGAGUCCAUCCACAGCGACCAAGGCAUAAACUUUGAGUCCCAUGUGUUGGGUAUGCACAAGACCCGCACUACUCCUCUCCAUCCUCAAAGUGAUGGGCUUGUUGAGCGCUUCAACAAAACGCUUGGACAGCAGCUGGCCAUUGUCUCUGCCAAACACCAGCAAAACUGGAACAAGCACCUGCCCUUGAUCCUCAUGGCAUGCCGCUCCGCUAUCCAAGGCUCCACCUCCUGCACGCCUGCCCUCCUCAUGCUGGGGAGAGAGAUCCGCACCCCUGCAGAGAUGGCGUUUGGCGGGCCCUGGAUAGCCCUGCUGUUCCCCCAGGGCCAGAGUAUGCCCGGAGACUCCAGGACCACCUGGAGACAGCCCACACCUUCGCCAGAGAGCAGCUGGAAAAUGCAGAUGUGAGGAAGAGGAACUAUGACGUGCACACCUGGGGAAGGCACUUUGUGGCUGGGGAGCUGGUCUGGGUCUACAGCCCCCUGAGAAAGAAAGGCAGAUGCCCCAAGUUGGACAGCCACUGGGUGGCCCUGCAGCGUCCUGGAGAGGGUAGGGGAGGUUGUUUAACGGGUGCAGCUUUCUCCCAGGGGGAGAAAGGUGGCACUGCACCGGGACAGAUUUGCCCCGUACAGAGGGGCCUCUUCUCCCCAAACCCCAGGGACCCCCACAAUUCCCCUCUCUGGAAAUGACAUGGUUGGUGGAGUGGCGUGGGGGGGUGGAGCAUUGCAAGUUAAGACUAUUUUUAGCCAUUGUUCUCUCUCUUACGUCUGGUCUUGACAAGAGAAGGUUUACGGCUGUUUUAGACGGGUAUCUUUAAUUUAUUUGGCGUGGGCUACGGCCAAACAGUAGCCUGUGUGGAGUUGGGUUAAUAAACCGGGAAUUCGUAAACUCAAUCGUCUGUCUGGACAAUUGUUCCUUUAUGAUCUAGCCAGGUCAUUACAAUACCAUCUGUUUUUGUCAAAGAAAGAUGCCAGACUAGUUCAUGUGGAUGCCAAUAGAUUUCCAGCUUUGUGCUUCGUUUGACAGUGCGGAUGCAUAUCUUCAGGCCAAGAAGUGACAGUCCAUUCUGCGAAUGAAACAGACAGGAGGUUGAGUGGGAGAUGGGCAGGACUUUCCAGCCUUCAUUGGGGUGGCUAUGUAAUGUAAGCCGACACCAGAGUCAGUUGUUACUACAGGUCAUGAACUCACUUUCAUGGGCUGAACAGACUGAGAUUCAGAAGCGAAUAUACAUUGAUAAAACAAUUAACAUACACAGUUCCCUAAUUGACCUUUAUUGUAAUGCAUGAUGACUUGUGUUUAAUUAAAUGCACUGUGUAAAUGUCUAGUAGAUGGCUGGCUAUUGCCUUACCUAUGUGUUGUAAAAGCCAAUCUUAUGACCUGUUAGGCUAUAUUGCACAUUGCCCAGUGUCUAAAUGUUCCCCUGAAUCCCCCUUCCAUAGUUGGCAUGGUGGGUAUGAAAUCAAAUCAAAUCAAAGUUUAUUUGUCACGUGUGCCCGAAUACAACAGGUGUAGACCUUACAGUGAAAUGCUUACUUACAGGCUCUAACCAACAGUGCAAUUUUCAAGAAAAAAAUAGGUAUUAGGUGAACAAUAGAUAAGUAAAGAAAUAAAAAGCAACAGUAAAAAGACAGUGAAAAACAACAGUAGCGAGGCUAUAUGCUGUAGCGAGGCUAUAUACAGGCACCGGUUAGUCGGGCUAAUUGAGGUAGUAUGUACAUGUAGGUAUGGUUAAAGUGACUAUGCAUAUAUGAUUAACAGAGAGUAGCAGCAGCGUAAAAGAGAGGUUGGGGGGGCAGAACAAUACAAAUAGUCCGGGUAGCCAUUUGAUUACCUGUUCAGGAGUCUUAUGACUUGGGGGUAAAAGCUGUUGAGAAGCCUUUUGGUCCUAGACCUGGCUCCCCGGUACCGCUUGCCAUGCGGUAGUAGAGAGAACAGUCUAUGACUGGGGUGUCUGGGGUUUUUGACAACUUUUAGGGCCUUCCUCUGACACCGCCUGGUGUAGAGGUCCUGGAUGGCAGGCAACUUAGUCCCAGUGAUGUACUGGGCCGUAGGCACUACCCUCUGUACUGCCUGUAUAUUGUAUAUUUCAUACAAUGCCUGUAUAUUGUAUAUGCAUAGUGCCUGUAUAUUGUAUAUUUCAUACAAUGCCUGUAUAUUGUAUAUACAUAGUGCCUGUAUGUUGUAUAUUUCAUACAAUAUACAGUCAAAAUAUUAGGUCUAACUGGCAGUAGUAGCCUACAUGAUUUGUGUGUGUGUGUCUUUCUCUUUUUUCUUCCAACCUCGACUGCACCACAGCAAAUUAUCUGUCAUUUCUCAGAGACACAGACACAGGGGUUUGGGGGGGGGGCAAUGCAAAUAGUCUGGGUAGCCAGUUGAUUAGCUGUUCAGGAGUCUUAUGGCUUGGGGGUAAAAGCUGUUGAGAAGCCUUUUGGUCCUAGACCUGGCCCCCCGUGUAACUGACAAUUAAUCUGUAAGUCUAUGUCGUUGUUUUUUUGUUUGAAUUGUUUACGUGUUCGCUAUGCGGGGGAAAUGAUAAGACAGGUGGAACGACGUGGCUAAUAACUGUUGUAACGGGGAUCAUUAUCGUAGCAACACAUCUUUGGGUGUAAAGGCAUUCCCGCGCGGUGUUAGCUAAGUUUUCAUGUUACCGGAUGUAGUUCGUAAAGGUUGAUAUGUGUAUGUUAGGAUGAAGCGUGAAUUCAUGCCAGGAAUAAUAAGUGUGAAGUUUGAUUUCCUCCCUUCUGUAAUAAGCAGCCAAUGAGUUCUCACGGAAGGUGAUAAUUCUGACUAAACUACAGAAUAAAGCCGCCAGUCAAAAUCAAGGAACGGUUGUGCUCGUGGUUACUGGAGGGAGCUACAGUGAGAACUCAGUGCUCUUCACGAGCAAGAGAGAAAGAAGAAUCUCAUCCAGCUGUAAAGUCUACAAGAUACCCAAAUCCUGGUAGGCCCUGUCAUCUGCCAGAUAAGAGUUUUGCACCUACCUGCAACCUAAGAAGAACAUCUCCACAUAAGGAAGCAUCGUGAGGCAACAUAAGGUCAAGGCUAACAGGAAAGUCAGACACGCAGGUACAAGUCAAAGCGUUUGAAGGUGGCCCUAGCCUUGUGAACUGCUAAUUAGAGACUUUAAGAUUACAAUUCGUAAGGACUGGAGAUAGUUGUGUAUUUCAUCAAGACGCUGGUAUUAUGCAUUUGCUCUUUCUUUCUUAAUGUAUCGUUAUUAUGUGUAUUACUGGAAAAAUAUUAUUUGAUACUUACUAAAACAAUAUAUAUAUUGCUACAAAACAUUAAGGGUCAGCGUACACCUAUUAAUUAUAUUUUCACCUGUAAGUUAAUAGUGUAAUUGUUUGGUAAGGUGUUUGUUCAAGCCUUUGUUACAAGCAUUAUACAUGUUUAUACCACGUACUAAGGUUUAAAUUACCUACUCACUUAUCCAAACCUUACCUAGAAUUGAUUUGAUUUGAUUUAGAAUGUCAGAAAAGGGUAGUUUCACUAAAGGAGAUAGAGAUGGGGUGGGUCAAGUUGAGCAGCAACACCUCGCAAACUUCAAGCCUUCAUCAGAACAAACAGAGCAGCAGGAAGAGACCCGGACUGGUGUGGAGUCACGGCUGCCAGCGAAUGAUGAUACAGAAGCUGCUAAUGAGACAUCACAACAAGAGCCACGAAAAGGUGAGAGGGUCCGCAGGUUAACUGAAAAGAGCAGAGAACUGCGCGACGAAAGGUGGAGACAGCUCGAACAUCGUUUCAGGGUCAGCUAUGAGAAGUGGAAGGCUCUGGUAAAGGAAGCAAAACUGUCACUGACAGGAUGUUGCUCUGAAGACCUACUAGAAGACCUCUUAAACAAGAUCAGCCAUACCUCUACAGAGCUAAACCUUGUUUAUGUAAAUUUGCGUCAAAUUGACAUUCCCGACAACGAUAUACGCCGCAGAGUUGAUACGUGUGAAGCAGUUACAAUGUCUAUUAUCAAGACUGUAAGGUGUCAUUUAAAGGUCAGGGAAGAAGGUCAAAGUAACCAGAUAGAGCUGCACUGGAAGGACAGCAAUCCUUGUGCAUGUCUGAACUCUCACAUAAGUCAAGUCUCAACUAUCAGCCCUCAAGCGCUUCCUCCCAGUCUCAAAGCAACUCAAAGGUCAACUUCAGACACUCAAGCGUGUCAUCUGUUAAGAGACAAGUUGCUGCUAACCAAGCAGCUUUAGAAGUAAUGGUUAAGCAAGAAAGCCAACUAGAAGAGCUUCAGAGACUCGAAGAUGAAGAUAAGAAGAGGACAGCGGAGCAAGAAGCUGAGGCUGUGAAACGCAGCUUAGAAGAAGCUAGGCUGCGAGUCAAGUUAGAGGUAGAAAAUGCUGCCAGACGAAGGACGCUAGAAGACAAGCGUAGAGAGUUAGAGCGCUUAGAAGUGCUCAAGAAACUAAAUACUGCCAAGGCGCGGAUGCAAGUGUAUGAGCAAGAUGAAAACUCAGAGGACGAGAAGAGAGAACUACUCUCUAACUUCAAAUCUGUGAAAGAAGUCAUGCACAGAAGUGGCUCAUUUCACAGUCUCUCACCACAACAUGUUGUGACAAGCACACAACAUGAAGAUAGCACCAAGACCAUGUUCAGGUUACUAGCGGAAUCAAUCAGUGAAAGCCGCCUCCCCAUACCAGAACCAGUGACAUUCAAUGGAGAACCACUCUCGUUCACUGACUGGAAGGUCUCUUUUCAGACUCUGAUAGACAGGAAGAACAUACCAGCAACUGAGAAUAUAUAUUACUUAAGAAAAUAUGUCGGUGGGCCUGCCAAGAAAGCCAUCGAAAGUUACUUUAUGUUAGGAACAGAGUCAGCCUACCAUGCUGCGUGGACCAUUCUUGAAGAAAGGUACGGAAACAAAUUCCUCAUCGCCAAGUCCUUCAGAGAUAAGCUCAAUGCAUGGCCUAAGAUAGGAUCCAAGGACAGUCUUAAACUUAGAGACCUUGUAGAUUUUCUCCGCAGCUGUGAGGCUGCUAUGUUUCAGAAUAAGGGCCUGAAGGUGCUUAAUGACUGUAAUGAAAACCAAAAGAUCCUCGCUAAACUUCCAGAUUGGCUAAUUUCAAGAUGGAAUAGAAAGGUCAUAGACAUCCUAGAAGAAACUGAGACCUUUCCCAGCUUCAGUCAGUUUGUAAAGUUUCACACGAGAGAAGCCAAGAUCGCUUGCAAUCCUGUAACAUCCCUUCACGCUUUGAAACCAAGCGAAGAUGGAAAACCUAAGACGCCAAGGAUUCAAAGCCCUGGAGCAAGGGUAUUAGCAACUAACUCUGAUGAGAAAAAUACUGUCACUAGUUGUGUCUUCUGUGAGAAGUCAGGUCAUAGUCUCCACAAAUGUUGGAAGUUCAUGGAUAAGCCCACCGCAGAGCGACAGAAGUUUGUUCAAGAGAAUAAAUUGUGCUUCGGCUGUUUAAGGCCUGGGCAUCGUUCGAAAGAUUGUGAUAACAGGAACACCUGUGACACGUGUCAGAGGAGGCAUCCAUCCUGCCUGCACGAAGAUCGUACUAAAGAAAGGUCAAGGGAUAGGAAGACAGAGCCCCCACAAGAUAAGGGGACAAGUGCGUCAAGUGAAGCCAUAUCUAACAGAGUCGUAAGGGACAUUAACAACACUCACACCUCCACAAUCAUUCCAGUAUGGGUGUCAACCACAAGCGAGCCCGAUCGUGAAGUUCUCGUGUAUGCACUUCUUGACACCCAGAGCGACACCACCUUUAUCCUUGAAGAGACAACAAAGGCUCUCAAUACAAAGAAGGAGCCAGUACAACGAAACUCUCUACAAUGGCCUCAAGGAAUACCAUCGUGCCCAGCCAGAAGCUGUCUGGUUUGCAGGUUAGAGGGUUUUACCUGGAGAAGAAAAUCCCUCUGCCAACUACCUACUCGAGAGAGUUUAUUCCUGCAAACAGAGAUCAUAUUCCUACUCCAGAGACGGCAAGAGCAUGGUCUCAUCUUCAACACAUUGCAGAGGAGAUUGCUCCUCAACAGAGCUGUGAUGUCGGUCUCUUAAUUGGCUACAACUGCUCCCAGGCUCUCCUUCCAAGAGAAAUUGUGUCUGGUAAGGGAAAUCAGCCUUUUGCUCAGAGAACAGACCUUGGCUGGAGCAUAGUCGGCUAUGGAAACCCAUGUAUCGACUAUGGCGACGCUAUUGGAGUGAGUCAUCAGGUUAUCGUUAGACAGGUGAUGCCAAGUCUUCAAUCUUCUUUCAACCUCACAAAUCAAGUACACUAUGUUUGUAGAACACGCGUAAGAGAGGUAAUCACAGCACGGGACGUUAUCAAGACGCUUGAAUCCGACUUCAAUGAGAGAGCUGCAGAAGAGGACCUCAUAUCUCAAGAGGAUAUCCGGUUCCUGACAAAAAUGAAAGCGGGCAUCUGACGCAAGGACAAUGGACAUUACGAGAUGCCGCUGCCAUUUAAGGAAGAAAGACCCAACCUGCCGAACAAUAAAACAUGUGCAGUUCACCGUCUCAAGUGCCUGGAAAGGAGGCUGAGGAGAGACAAGCAGUACUACAAGGACUACACAGCAUUUAUGGAAGAGACCAUAGCUCGUGGAGAUCCUGAGAAGGUCUCCAAGGAAGAAAUUAACAAGCAUCCAGCAUGGUACAUCCCACAUCAUGGGGUUUAUCACCCACAAAAGCCUGGGAAGAUAGGAGUCGUCUUUGACUGCUCAGCUAAGUUUCGAGAGACGUCCUUGAAUGACCAUCUCCUCACCGGUCCAGAGUUGACAAACACAUUGCUGGCAAAAUCUUUUGUCAUUUUCGUAAGGGUCCAGUUGCAAUCAUGUGUGAUGUAGAGCGCAUGUUCCACCAGUUUCAUGUGAAAGCAGAAGACCAAGAUCAUCUGCGGUUCCUUUGGUGGGAGAACGGCGAUCUAGAGUCUCAACCCUCAGUGUAUCGUAUGAAGGUCCACUUGUUCGGUGCAGCUUCAUCUCCUGGUUGCGCCAACUAUGGUCUCAAACAUCUCGCUGCUGAAGGACGAGGAAGCUUCAGCGAGAAGUCUAUCCAGUUCAUAGAAAGGAACUUUUAUGUUGAUGAUGGGUUGACGAGCGUAUCGUCUGAAGCUGAAGCGGCCCAGCUGGUGAAAGAAGCAAGAGAGCUUUGCAGCAUCGGCAAACUUCGGUUGCACAAGUUUAUCUCUAACAGCAAGGAAGUUAUAGCCACAAUUCCCAAGGAAGAAUGUGCUGAGGGUGCCAAAGACCUGGAUAUGGCUCUGGGUGAACCACACAUGGAGAGGGCGCUUGGUGUACUAUGGUGUGUCGCAUCAGACAAGUUCCAGUUUAGGGUAGUUGUUAAGGAACGCCCACUCACAAGAAGAGGAGUGUUGUCUACAGUAGCCUCUGUAUAUGAUCCGCUUGGGUUUGUGGCACCCUUUGUCCUGGCAGGGAAGCAGAUCUUGCAGCAGAUGUGUCGUGACAAGAUCGACUGGGAUGAGCCCAUUCCAGAUGACCUACGUUUCCAGUGGGAAUUCUGGCUCCAAGGUCUACAAAAGUUGUCGGAAGUAAGGAUCCAACAAGGCUACUUGCCAUCAAGUUUCAAGGAAGUGCAGAGUUAUGAGCUCCAUCACUUCUCCGACGCUAGUACCUCAGGUUAUGGAGAGUGCUCAUACCUCAGAACAAUCAGCACAGCAGGAGAAGUUCAUUGCUCCCUAGUUAUGGGGAGGUCGAGAGUCGCCCCUUCCAAUAUUACGACCAUACUACGACUGGAACUUUCAGCAGCGGUGGUAGCUGCUUUCUUUGGCAAGAAGAACUUCCCAAAGGACAAGUCAAGGGGGGAGAGUUCUCAGACAAUGACCCAGAGCUGCAGAAAUCCCUGGUCCAUGAUACCCAGGCAAAGGAAGAAAGAUCGUUACUAGAUCACCUUCACAAGUUCUCAGACUGGGCAAGAGUGGUAAAAGCUAUUGCCAGGCUCAAACGACGUGUCAAGGAAGCCAUAGGCUUAAAAUUGAGGUCUAGUGAAGCUACAAGCAUAGAAGAAAGGAGAGAGGCAGAGCUCACCAUUAUAAGGAUGGUUCAAGAAGCAGCCUUCUCCCAUGAGAUACACAACCUUAGGCACCAGAAAGACAUCAAGACCAAAGAUAAACCAAGCAAGUUGCAUAAAUUGAGUCCAUUUCUGGAUGAGCAAGGUAUCCUCAGGGUGGGAGGUCGCUUGGCUCAUGCAACUCUUCAUUCCCACGUGAAGCAUCCUGCAAUCCUGCCAAGAGAUAGCCACUUGUCAGUGCUGCUCGUCAAGCACUAUCAUGAAAGAGUACGACACCAAGGACGUGGAAUAACGAUCAAUGAGCUGCGAUCCAACGGUAUAUGGAUCCUAGGAUGCAGCAAUGCAGUUUCCUCACACAUCUACAAAUGUGUGAAAUGCAGGAAAUUCAGAAGAUGUACAGAAGAGCAAAGGAUGGCAGAUCUUCCGAAGGAACGCAUGGAGACCACGCCUCCCUUCACAUACUGCGGGAUGCUGCUUUGGACCUUUCUAUGCCAAGGACGGAAUAAGAGAGUUAAAGUGUUAUGGGCUCCUACUCACUUGCAGGGGCUCUCGAGCAGUUCACAUUGAAAUGCUUGAUGACUUAACCACCGAUGCCUUUAUCAAUGCCCUGCGUUCAUUCAUUGCCAUACGUGGUAAUGUUCGUCAAAUCAGAUGUGAUCAAGGCAGCAACUUCAUUGGCGCAAGACGCGAGUUUGUGGACGCCCGGAAGGAAAUGGAUCAAGAACGAUUGAAGGAACUUGGAUGCGAGUUUAUCAUGAACACCCCAUCUUCAAGUCACAUGGGUGGUGUUUGGGAAAGGCAAAUCCGCACGAUACGAAGUGUCUUGACAUCCAUUCUUGAUCAGUCAGACGGAAGACUCGACAGCGCUUCUCUGCGUACCUUUCUCUAUGAAGUCAUGGCGAUUUUAAAUAGUAGGCCCCUAACUACGGAAUAUCUGAAUGAUCCAUUAGGUCCAGACCCGCUCACACCAAAUCACAUCUUGACAAUGAAGUCCACAAAUCUCUUACCACCACCUGGACAGUUCAUCAAGGAAGAUCUUUAUCUCCGCAAGAGAUGGCGCAGAGUACAAUUCUUAGCCAAUGAAUUCUGGGCAAGGUGGAAGAAAGAGUACCUCCUAAACCUCCAACACAGGCAGAAAUGGAAUAAAGACAGAAGAAACGCAAGUAUUAAUGACAUUGUCAUAUUGCAAGAUGAUACUGUACCACGCAACCAGUGGAAAUUGGCAAAGGUUACAGAAGUGUACCUGGGACAGGAUGGCCGGGUGAGAAGAUGCAAGUUACUGAUCAGCGACUCAACCCUGGAUGAGAGAGGUAAACGCAUCACCAAACCCACCUAUCUGGAGAGGCCCAUCCAUAAGACAGUCACCCUCCUGGAAGCCGAUCAAAAAACCUGCAGACCCCUUUCACAGAAAUCACAGGUGAUUGGUGGGAGUGUAACUGACAAUUAAUCUGUAAGUCUAUGUCGUUGUUUUUUGUUUGAAUUGUUUACGUGUUCGCUAUGCGGGGGAUAUGAUAAGACAGGUGGAACGACGUGGCUAAUAACUGUUGUAACGGGGAUCAUUAUCGUAGCAACACAUCUUUGGGUGUGAAGGCAUUCCCGCGCGGUGUUAGCUAAGUUUUCAUGUUACCGGAUGUAGUUCGGAAAGGUUGAUAUGUGUAUGUUAGGAUGAAGCGUGAAUUCAUGCCAGGAAUAAUAAGUGUGAAGUUUGAUUUCCUCCCUUCUGUAAUAAGCAGCCAAUGAGGUAUUUUUUCCUUUAUUCGUGUGUUCAAUCUGAUACUAUUAUAGCUCCGGCUAAACUGUUUAUGUAAGUAAGUACUUCAGAGUUAUACCAAGCUAAUAAGUCACUCAUAAGACAAGAAGGUGUAAGAGUGUGCUUAAACUGUAUUUUCAUUUACUUUAUAGUUCUCACGGAAGGUGAUAAUUCUGACUAAACUACAGAAUAAAGCCGCCAGUCAAAAUCAAGGAACGGUUGUGCUCGUGGUUACUGGAGGGAGCUACACCCCGGUACCGCUUGCCAUGCGGUAGUAGAGAGAACAGUCUAUGACUGGGGUGUCUGGGGUUUUUGACAACUUUUAGGGCCUUCCUUUGACACCGCCUGGUGUAGAGGUCCUGGAUGGCAGGCAGCUUAGCCCCAGUCAUGUACUGGGCCGUAGGCACUACCCUCUGUACUGCCUGUAUAUUGUAUAUUUCAUACAAUGCCUGUAUAUUGUAUAUGCAUAGUGCCUGUAUAUUGUAUAUUUCAUACAAUGCCUGUAUAUUGUAUAUGCAUAGUGCCUGUAUAUUGUAUAUGCAUAGUGCCUGUAUAUUGUAUAUUUCAUACAAUGCCUGUAUAUUGUAUAUACAUAGUGCCUGUAUGUUGUAUAUUUCAUACAAUAUACAGUCAAAAUAUUAGGCCUAACUGGCAGUAGUAGCCUACAUGAUUUGUGUGUGUGUGUCUUUCUCUUUUUUCUUCCAACCUCGACUGCACCACAGCAAAUUAUCUGUCAUUUCUCAGAGACACAGACACAGGACUCGGACCAGCAGAACCAGAACUUUUAGGAAAUAAGUAGAUUCAUUUCACACAUUUCGCAAAAUCGGCCUCAAGAGCCCUUUUUGGCACCCUCAUUUUGUUUUCUGUUUUGACUGAGUGACUGACAAAGUCAGAGCGGGUCUCACUCUCUUUGAUGAUGCAAGUUGGACUUUGAAUGUCAAUUUGCGAAACCUCAGCUUAGCGAAUCAGAUAACCGGCUGGCCGUUAACCACUGGUCAGCCAAAUGCUCAAUAUUGAUUACGACAACAGAGAAAUAGCACAAAGGUCAUAAAAUAACUCGCUCAUGGGCCACCAGCCAUGUCCAUUGUUUAAAAAUAUAUAUAUACUUUUUUGUUGUUGUCAAUUUCAAUCAGCCCACCCUAAUAAAGGAUGGUCCUUCGGGCAUUUGCUAGAAAUGGCAGAUGGCCAAUCCGCCCAAAGCCCGUGGGCCACCCCCACCUUGCAGGGGCUGUAGGUGUGUGUGGUAUGCCAGUGGAAGCGAGCAGGUCAUUAGGCAGGGGUCCAUCUUUUCACAGACUUAGUCAUACAGCACAAAGUCAAUUUGCCAAGUGCUCUCAUCAAACAUUUUAGACAUCAGCUCUGUUGCAACAAGGAUCCACCAAAAGCAAAUAUUUCACACAAAAACAAAUAAAACCCCACAGACUUAGGAAAUAUGUUGUUACAUAAAAUGUACAUUAAGUAAUGAGACUAAGAAUUUGAAUUAAUUACAACUUCUUUCGAAUGUAUACAUGUGCAACAUUGCAUCAAUAUUACUGAAGAAUAUUACUUUUUAUGCAAACAUGCACUGUGAACCAUUGUACAUGGGCCUUGAAUAAUUUUUUUUAUAUUUUAAUAAAAUAAACUGCAUGUUUUCUGGAGAACAAAGGAGAGUUGAACAAAAUUAGUAAUUGCGCA